Acanthosepion pharaonis is the source of this 97-nucleotide non-coding RNA. Lineage: Eukaryota; Metazoa; Mollusca; Cephalopoda; Sepiida; Sepiidae. The record is from the annotation of a GenBank genome assembly.
UUGAAACACCGGUUACCAUAAGAUCACCAAAGUUAAGCAACGUCGAGUCUGGUCAGUACCUGUAUGGAUGACCGCUUAGGAAUACUAGGUGCUGUGA